AAAUCUUUUUGCUAUUGCGUGAAAAGUUAGAGGAUAAUUUCCUAAUCCGGUUAAUACCGUAGAAGCAACUCCAGUUUAUGUCAAUGCUUGUUAACGCCUAGUACAAAAUUCUUCAGAGCCGAGGGCUGGCUAAGUGGAGAGUUGCAACGUUGUUUCAUUACCCUGUUGCAUCCAAAUUCUGGUUUCCGGGGCGAUUUGGAAACAAGCAGGAAGAGUGGAGGGAAUUGUACUUGCACGUAUUUUAGAAAGAUAAUAAACAUUUCACAGCUCUCCAGAUAUUUUAAAUUGCAGUAACCCUAGAAGAAUUUUGUAGCGGGUAAAUCAAAGCUUCGGUCUUACGAAUUCUGAAAUAUAAAAUUGGCAAUUACUUCUUCACAGGCCCUGAUAUUUUCUUCUUUUUCAUUUUAUGUGAGUGUGUAAGAUGAGAAAUGUAUAAACAAGUAUUUUUGUGAGUGCACGGUAAAUAAAUAAAAAGAGCAGAGUGAUGGAAGUAUUCGAUUGUUAAAGGCAAAAUAAUGUUCUUUUCAAUUCCUCUCUCGGUUUUUUUUUCUUAUAAAGCAGAACUUUAGGCUUGCCUAAAUAUUGAAAACAUUUCUAUACCAUCACAUAAUUUAUUUAGAAGCCACAUGUUUACUUUUGGUUUCCCAGUGAUCAUUUGUGUUGUGAAUUUAUUAGCACUUUUAUUCUGUUUGCAUUUUAUUAUUCUUUUGACUACUUAUCAAUAUUUUAAGCAGAAUACAUUACAUAAAAUUAGUAAGCAAGGC
Molecule: long non-coding RNA, 764 nt
Filed under: Marmota monax (woodchuck)
Lineage: Eukaryota; Metazoa; Chordata; Mammalia; Rodentia; Sciuridae
Source: RNAcentral